This 467-nucleotide ribosomal RNA is filed under the name uncultured bacterium. RNAcentral's name for it is "partial 16S ribosomal RNA". It matches the Rfam family "Bacterial small subunit ribosomal RNA", at positions 28 to 507 of the family's 1533-position model. The record is from RNAcentral.
GACAAACGCUGGCGGCGUGCUUAACACAUGCAAGUCGAACGGAAAGGCUCCAGCUUGCUGGAGUACUCGAGUGGCGAACGGGUGAGUAACACGUGGGUAAUCUGCCCUGCACUCUGGGAUAAGCCUGGGAAACUGGGUCUAAUACUGGAUAUGACCUUUCUCCUUAUGGGGUUUGGUGGAAGGUUUUUCGGUGUAGGAUGAGCCCGCGGCCUAUCAGCUUGUUGGUGGGGUGAUGGCCUACCAAGGCGACGACGGGUAGCCGGCCUGAGAGGGUGAUCGGCCACAUUGGGACUGAGAUACGGCCCAGACUCCUACGGGAGGCAGCAGUGGGGAAUAUUGCACAAUGGGCGGAAGCCUGAUGCAGCGACGCCGCGUGAGGGAUGACGGCCUUCGGGUUGUAAACCUCUUUCAGCAGGGACGAAGCGUAAGUGACGGUACCUGCAGAAGAAGCACCGGCUAACUAUGUG